AAAGAGAGAUCGUGCUUCUUUUGAAAACAUUGCUCUCUGUAAAUACAGCUUUGUUUCUUUUUGAACUAUAUAAGGUGUGGAUUUAUGGUUCCACAGAGGCAAGUUAAUGCCUUGCCUUUUUCUGCAAAAAAGAAAACUCAUCUCAAGAAAUUGUCAGGCUCAAUAUGUCUUCAAGACACAUGCACAGAAGACCCAUUUACAAGUCACACUGGAAGGAAAAGAAAAAGAAAGAAGAGCAGGGAAGCACAAGGAAACCCCGACUCUCAGCUGUAAGAGGAACACAUGGCCAAGAGUGGCAGAAGUGAAACAAAGGUUGAAUACAUGUUGGCAAGAAGGACAUGAGUGGAAUAUAGCAGGCAGCAUUGAGGAGGAAUUAGCUCUGACCUUAAUAUGCUGUUGAACAAAGCACAAUGUGAGGGCUUCUGAGGCCAUUAUGGAUCUAAUAGUGGUCAAAGCAUAUUAAGAGUUUUAUUAAGAGACCCUUAUGUAUCAUUUUAUCACAGUAGAGUCACACAGUCAGUGCUGUGCAGGGAGAAUUAGUGAGGCAAUUCUGAUUAAGCGCCCAAACCUCAUUGACUUCAGGGGGAGUUUUGCCUUCUUAAGCACUGAAGGAUCAGGCUCUAAGGUUGGAUAAGCCAAGCUCUAACUGAUCCUUCUUAGGAUAGCUUAGGGUAUCAGCUACUGCUCACGCAGAGGAGUCUCACAAGGCAUUUUAAUCUUCAGAGGAAACAUUUCAUUUCAAUGCACAGUGACUGACAUUCUUCUCAAAAAGUUUAUUACAUCUCUUUUUCCCUGAUUAAAAAUAUCAAGACAUGCACAUUCACACACAGGCAUUCAAUACAGGAGGUCUGGAAUCCACAUUCAGUUCAGGCUGGAGGAGAUGUGGUACCUUCCAGCCCUUGAAAGAUUCAUUCAAUUCUAAUAAUAGUCACAAUUUACAGAUAAUUGUCAAGAGAAGUUACUCUGUUUUUUUGUGGGGGUGGGGAGGGGCAGUGGAGGUUUCUAAGAUUAUUCAAGUAUUUUCUGCUAAAUAGCUGCAAAGGAUUGUAAG
This 1051-nucleotide long non-coding RNA is filed under the name Gopherus agassizii (Agassiz's desert tortoise). RNAcentral's name for it is "lncRNA (ENSGAGG00000024113.1)". Lineage: Eukaryota; Metazoa; Chordata; Testudines; Testudinidae. The record is from RNAcentral.